UACAGAGGUGCCAAGCGUUAGGCGGAAUCACUGGGCUUAAAGCGCGUGUAGGUGGGUCGUUAAGUGUCCGCGUGAAAUCCCACGGCUCAACCGUGGAACUGCCGGGCAUACUGGCGAUCUUGAGGCAUUCAGGGGCGAGCGGAACAAAUGGUGGAGCGGUGAAAUGCGUAGAUAUCUGGAGGAACACCGGUGGCGAAGGCGACAUCCUGGACCGGUAUUGACGCUGAGGCGCGAAAGCCAGGGGAGCAAACGGG
Molecule: ribosomal RNA, 254 nt
Filed under: uncultured bacterium
Lineage: Bacteria
Description: partial 16S ribosomal RNA
Rfam family: Bacterial small subunit ribosomal RNA
Source: RNAcentral